Molecule: ribosomal RNA, 471 nt
Filed under: uncultured bacterium
Lineage: Bacteria
Description: bacterial SSU rRNA
Rfam family: Bacterial small subunit ribosomal RNA
Source: RNAcentral
AUCCAGACUCCUACGGGAGGCAGCAGUGGGGAAUCUUCCGCAAUGGGCGAAAGCCUGACGGAGCAACGCCGCGUGAUCGAAUGAAGGCCUUCGGGUUGUAAAGAUCUGUUGACAGGGACGAAUAAGCAAUGCGAAUAGUUUUGUGUAUGACGGUACCUGUUUAGAAAGCUCCGGCUAACUACGGGCCAGCAGCGGCGGUAAUACGUAGGGAGCAAGCGUUAUCCGGAUUUACUGGGUGUAAAGGGGGCGCAGGUGGCAGGGCAAGUCAGAUGUGAAAGCCCGGGGCCCAACCCCGGUAUUGCUUUUGAAACUGUCGGGCUAGAGUGCAGGAGAGGUAAGCGGAAUUCCUAGUGUAGCGGUGAAAUGCGUAGAUAUUAGGAGGAACACCAGUGGCGAAGGCGGCUUACUGGACUGUAACUGACGCUGAGGCUCGAAAGCGUGGGGAGCAAACAGGAUUAGAUACCCGAGUAC